Long non-coding RNA from Sphaerodactylus townsendi, 390 nucleotides. RefSeq lists it as uncharacterized. Lineage: Eukaryota; Metazoa; Chordata; Lepidosauria; Squamata; Sphaerodactylidae. The transcript has 2 exons. The record is from RefSeq and is a predicted model, not a curated record.
AGAGGAACAGGCCGACCCCUUGGAGGUUGAUGCAAAGAAGAUUCUCUGUGUGACGGAGCUAUUUCCCGACGUGUGGCAGGGCGCCGUGGAUCUGACAUUGUUGGCUAAGCUGGUUCAGGGAGAACUGAAUCCCGAAUGCUGUAGUCGGUGCGAACUGAUCGAAUUGUUCCGAAGCACAGCCGCUUCAGGACCCGAGGGGGCACGUGCUAUGUCAAAAAUUACGGUUAUAGCGAUGAAGGGGGUGAAUGAGCAUGUCGUUCUAAAGCCCGACCUGCAUAAGGAUGAAAAAACCCAGGACUGACUAGUGUGUUUGUGCGCGGCGGAUUCGGAGUGCCCUCUUCUGUAUGAAUAUUGCUGAAUAAAGAAAAAAGUUCAUUGUUGUAAAGAAAA